RNAcentral lists this ribosomal RNA (526 nucleotides) under uncultured bacterium. Its description in RNAcentral is "partial 16S ribosomal RNA". It matches the Rfam family "Bacterial small subunit ribosomal RNA", at positions 355 to 873 of the family's 1533-position model. The record is from RNAcentral.
UGGGGAAUAUUGCACAAUGGGCGCAAGCCUGAUGCAGCCAUGCCGCGUGUGUGAAGAAGGCCUUCGGGUUGUAAAGCACUUCAGCGAGGAGGAAGGUGGUGAACUUAAUACGUUCAUCAAUUGACGUUACUCGCAGAAGAAGCACCGGCUAACUCCGUGCCAGCAGCCGCGGUAAUACGGAGGGUGCAAGCGUUAAUCGGAAUUACUGGGCGUAAAGCGCACGCAGGCGGUUUGUUAAGUCAGAUGUGAAAUCCCCGGGCUCAACCUGGGAACUGCAUUUGAAACUGGCAAGCUAGAGUCUCGUAGAGGGGGGUAGAAUUCCAGGUGUAGCGGUGAAAUGCGUAGAGAUCUGGAGGAAUACCGGUGGCGAAGGCGGCCCCCUGGACGAAGACUGACGCUCAGGUGCGAAAGCGUGGGGAGCAAACAGAUUAGAUACCCUGGUAGUCCACGCUGUAAACGAUGUCGAUUUUGGAGGUUGUGCCCCUUGAGGCGUGGCUUCCGGAGCUAACGCGUUAAAUCGACCGCC